UUCCAUUCAGCGGUCAGAGAGUUAGUGGGCUAAACCUUUCGCUGCUCCUUUGCAACAUGCUAGGCUGAGGACUACUAGUGGAGGAAGUACUUUGCUUCCGGUUCUGUUCCAAAGAAGUUAUUUGUGGGACUAGAGGGCGGAGUUGGGGGAUGCCCCGGAAGUAUUUCCUUGUGGUCUCACGUCGGAAAAAUGGCGGCGGUACGAGUUGGCGGCCUGCUGCCGUGCAGCCAGCUGCGGGAAGCGCCGCGGGAGCCGCCCCCUGAGCCCGGCAGUGGGUUCCACCGCUUGUCGCUUGUCGGGCUUGUUGGCCAGGCUCCACGCCCUGCGCCUGGAGGACAGCAGCUCCGCCCGCACUGAGAUCCACCUCCUCUUCGACUAGCUCAUCUCCGAGAACUACCGCGAGGGCGGCGGCGUGGCCACGGAGGAUGUCAGUGCUCUUCUUGUCCAAGCUUGCCAACUGGUGCCUCCUAAUCAGAAUCAUCUUGUCAGCAAAGUGUCUAAGCUGAUCCACCAUUUACUUAACAGAUUACAGGUGAUUGUUGAUGAACAGAACCUGGAUUUCUUGUUGGCGUAUACCAUUUUAGCUAUUCGGCAGUGUAGCUCCUGGACACACAUGGAAAUUCUCCAAGCCCUGGCAGCUCUGGUUUACUACAAUGGCUCAAAAUGUCAAAAGGUAGUUUAAACCACACUCUGCCUUUCCUUUGAAAGGCAAGCA
Non-coding RNA from Heterocephalus glaber (naked mole-rat), 715 nucleotides. NCBI's taxonomy places the organism in Eukaryota, Metazoa, Chordata, Mammalia, Rodentia, Bathyergidae. The record is from RefSeq and is a predicted model, not a curated record.